Molecule: ribosomal RNA, 446 nt
Filed under: uncultured bacterium
Lineage: Bacteria
Description: partial 16S ribosomal RNA
Rfam family: Bacterial small subunit ribosomal RNA
Source: RNAcentral
CCUACGGGGGGCAGCAGUCGAGAAUCAUUCACAAUGGGGGAAACCCUGAUGGUGCGACGCCGCGUGGGGGAAUGAAGGUCUUCGGAUUGUAAACCCCUGUCAUGUGGGAGCAAAUUAAAAAGAUAGUACCACAAGAGGAAGAGACGGCUAACUCUGUUCCAGCAGCCGCGGUAAUACAGAGGUCUCAAGCGUUGUUCGGAAUCACUGGGCGGAAAGCGUGCGUAGGCUGUUUCGUAAGUCGUGUGUGAAAGGCGCGUGCUCAACCCGCGGACGGCACAUGAUACUGCGAGACUAGAGUAAUGGAGGGGGAACCGGAAUUCGCGGUGUAGCAGUGAAAUGCGUAGAUAUUGAGAGGAACACUCAUGGCGAAGGCGGGUUCCUGGACAUUAACUGACGCUGAGGCACGAAAGCCAGGGGAGCGAAAGGGAUUAGAUACCCCAGUAGUC